GGCAAUGGGGGUCCCAAGAUCCAGGGGGGGAAAAGGGGAUGGCUCUCAGCCACCACAAAAUGGGGGGCCUUUAUGUUCAGGUUUUGCCCAAGAGUCAGCUUAUUUGCUUCUUGUACUAGCAGGGCAGUUGCUGCCAAGGCCUCAAACAGGGGAGCCAUCCUUCAGAAACCCUGUCUAGUUGUUCAGAGACGUAGGCCACCGGCCUCAGCCAGGGCCCCACAGUUUGGGUUAAAAGUCCAGCUGCCAUCUUUUCUCUCUCUAACGCAUACAAUGGAAAAGGCUUUGUCAGAUCGGGUAGCCCCAGGGCUGGGGCUGCCAGAAGUUUUUCCUUUAAGUCAUGAAAGACUUGCUGUUCUUGGAUCCCCAUUCCAAAGGUUCCGGUCCCCGCCCCCUUUGUGACCUCAUACAAAGGCUUGGCUAAUACUGCAAAGUUUGGGAUCCACAGUCUACAAAACCCCACAUCCCCUGAGAAUUCUCUCGCCUGCCUUAGGCACUUAGGCUCCGGGAGAUUGCAAAUAACCUGCUUUCUUUCUGUUCCCGGGCUGCGUUCGGACUCCUGUCAGAUAGUAAAUCCUAAGUGGCGUCGGACCCCUGUCAGAGAGUAAAUCUCAAGUAAGGUACCUGCCAUCGGCAGAUUUGAGCUUUCUUCUUGGACACCUAAUACCCACAGUCCUCCAGGCUCCGGUAGACUGCAAAUGACCUGCUUUCUUUCUGUUCCCGGGCUGCGUUUGGACCCCUGUCGGAUAGUAAAUCCCAAGUAAGGUACCUGCCCUCGGCAGAUUUGAGCUUUCUUCUUGGACACCUAAUACCCACAGUCCCCCAGGCUCCGGUAGACUGCAAAUGACCUGCUUUCUUUCUGUUCCCGGGCUGCGUUUGGACCCCUGUCGGACAGUAAAUCCCAAGUAAGGUACCUGCCCUCGGCAGAUUUGAGCUUUCUUCUUGGACACCUAAUACCCACAGUCCUCCAGGAAUGGAACAGAUAAGAAGAUACUGAAAUUGGACGGUGCUGCCGUGCGGCUGCCGCAGGACACCUUUAAUAUCCCUGUUUCUCAGGCUGUAGAUGAAGGGGUUCAGCAUGGAGGUGAUCACCGUGUACAUCACUGAGGCCACUGCAGCCUUUCUCGGGGAAGAUGACACAUCUGAACUGAGGUACCCUCCAAAGCCUGUUCCGUAAAAUCAGCAAACAACUGACAGGAUAACUUCAGGAAGUGGGUAUUAAUUCUCACGGUAUAAGUGAAGACAUUAAGCACCAGAGUUUAAGUAGCUUGAUCCACUGAAAGAGAUUCAACUGUGUGGAACCUAUGCCGUGGAGAAUUGCUUUCUGCCAUUGUUAUCGUCCAGCAGUUGCCGAAUAGCUCUGACCUGAGCAAAGCAGUGAAACGCGGUGCUGUUGAGUGGGUUGCCACUGCACCUUUUUCAACUACUCUAGUCUUGUGGAGAAAAUACCCCUUCUAAAUUUUUUCUUCAUUGAAUACUCUCCCUCAGCUCCAGAGUACCAUAUAGAGUUUUCUUGUAUUUUAGAGUUACUGUUUUAUCAAAGUUUACCAGUCUUUUGUAUUACAUUUCUCCUGUCUAAAUCGACUGUGUGGUUUCUACUCAUUAUGGAUAUAGAUUGAUACAAACUCAAUAAAUAUUUUUGAAUGAAUAAC
RNAcentral lists this long non-coding RNA (1649 nucleotides) under Homo sapiens (human). Its description in RNAcentral is "long intergenic non-protein coding RNA 1198". The record is from RNAcentral. Lineage: Eukaryota; Metazoa; Chordata; Mammalia; Primates; Hominidae.